AGUUUUGAAUCUGGUUGAUUGAUUUUGAGAGAAUGUGAGUUGAAAGUUUAAGAAAUGUUUAGAGUGUUUUUUUUAGAAGUGAGGAGGGAGAAUGAUUCUGGCAUAUUUUAGAACAAAUACUGUCCGAAGAUGCAUCUCUGCAAUAUUUACAAAAAUGUUUCUCUGUUAUUUUUUUAACGUUAAGUCAUAACUCUAUUGACU
This 201-nucleotide long non-coding RNA is filed under the name Lathyrus oleraceus (garden pea). RNAcentral describes it as "Pisum sativum (pea) long non-coding RNA (PSAT_LNC004340)". Lineage: Eukaryota; Viridiplantae; Streptophyta; Magnoliopsida; Fabales; Fabaceae. The record is from RNAcentral.